GACGGACGCUGGCGGUGUGCUUAACACAUGCAAGUCGAACGGUAAGGCCCUUUCGGGGGUACACGAGUGGCGAACGGGUGUGUAACACGUGAGUAACCUGCCCUCAUCUCUGGGAUAACAGUCGGAAACGGUUGCUAAUACUGGAUAUGAGCCUGCAAGGCAUCUUGUGGGUUGGAAAGAUUUUUUGGUUGGGGAUGGACUCGCGGCCUAUCAGCUUGUUGGUGAGGUAGUGGCUCACCAAGGCUUCGACGGGUAGCCGGCCUGAGAGGGCGACCGGCCACAUUGGGACUGAGAUACGGCCCAAACUCCUACGGGAGGCAGCAGUGGGGAAUAUUGCACAAUGGACGGAAGUCUGAUGCAGCAACGCCGCGUGCGGGAUGACGGCCUUCGGGUUGUAAACCGCUUUCAAUUGUGACGAAGCUUUUUGUGACGGUAGCAGUAGAAGAAGCACCGGCUAACUACGUG
RNAcentral lists this ribosomal RNA (465 nucleotides) under uncultured bacterium. Its description in RNAcentral is "partial 16S ribosomal RNA". It matches the Rfam family "Bacterial small subunit ribosomal RNA", at positions 28 to 507 of the family's 1533-position model. The record is from RNAcentral.